RNAcentral lists this ribosomal RNA (403 nucleotides) under uncultured bacterium. Its description in RNAcentral is "bacterial SSU rRNA". It matches the Rfam family "Bacterial small subunit ribosomal RNA", at positions 355 to 776 of the family's 1533-position model. The record is from RNAcentral.
UGGGGAAUUUUGCGCAAUGGGGGAAACCCUGACGCAGCAACGCCGCGUGCGGGACGACGGCCCUCGGGUUGUAAACCGCUUUCAGUGGGGACGAUGGUGACGGUACCCACAGAAGAAGCUCCGGCUAACUACGUGCCAGCAGCCGCGGUAAUACGUAGGGAGCGAGCGUUAUCCGGAUUCAUUGGGCGUAAAGCGCGCGUAGGCGGCUGCCUAAGCGGAACCUCUAAUCCCGGGGCUCAACCUCGGGCCGGGUUCCGAACUGGGCGGCUCGAGUGCGGUAGAGGCAGGCGGAAUUCCCGGUGUAGCGGUGGAAUGCGCAGAUAUCGGGAAGAACACCGAUGGCGAAGGCAGCCUGCUGGGCCGUCACUGACGCUGAGGCGCGAAAGCUGGGGGAGCGAACAGG